Molecule: long non-coding RNA, 4137 nt
Filed under: Medicago truncatula (barrel medic)
Lineage: Eukaryota; Viridiplantae; Streptophyta; Magnoliopsida; Fabales; Fabaceae
Description: long non-coding RNA (MTRU_LNC008837)
Source: RNAcentral
CCUCCAAGUGAUGAUCUAGAGUUAGUUUGCUUUCUUUCAUUCUCUAGUACCUAAAAAUAUCAUUUUUAUGGAUUAAAUUGUGAAAGAUGGUAAAAUAAUGGUGAGGUGUACCAACAUCCAAAGUUGGUACAAUAUAUAUAUUUUUUUUUAAAGUGAACUUAAUUACAUAUACAAUCAUUUAUUUGUUUACGCUCAAACCAUUACCCGGAUUUAUUACAUAGAAUGAGCCACAAACAUGUGUUGAUAUAAAGUGAUGUGGAACCAACAAUAGAUCCAACCAAGUGCUAAUGGAUUUAUACUUCUUAAAUAUGUGGCAAGAAUUGAUGAAGAAACUCUUCGUACAUAUAACUCCAUAACCCAAAUAAAAGUGAUUUGUAUAAUUGUAAAUUUUGAGAUAUCAAAUUCAAUUCGUAUCGAUAAAAAAAAAUACACGGGAUGAAACAAGGCUGACCCAAGGUCCUAGCAAACCAAGUUAAGAUUUUAAGGUUCAAAAUUUUGGGUAAAAAAAAAAGCUUUUUUAAUUGUUUUAACACGAAAUAUUGCACAUGUUAAACAAAUCUCAUUUAAAUUUAUAAGUGUGCGUGACAAAUUAGUUAUAGACACAGUUAGUCAAAUUAAGAUAAUAAUCUUAUAUUAUUUUUGACGUAAGUUUAAAUCUUGAACUAAACAAAACAAGAUUUUAUCUUUAUAAACCUUGUGUUAUCUCAUUAUAGAAUUUGCUUUAAGCUUCCAAAUAUGUUGGACCGAUCUACCGUAGCAAGUUUAUAGUUUUUCUUACGAUUGGGAGAGUUUUUGUCAAUGUAAUAUAUCCACUUUAACUAGACUACAACAAUUAAAUGUGGUAAAGAAAGAACAAUAUAUACACGAAUGAGACAGUGUGAUAUUAGUGCCAACCAAGAAAAGACAAGGCAUCAAAUAUUGUUGUGCCAAUUUUAAAAGCAAUAACAUUUUACUCAAAACGAUACUUUCCGUUGAAGAACAAUUAUCAUGAUGUAUUUAUUAAAUUGGAAAAGCAAGCCAUCAAGAAUUAUAAUAACAACAGGUCUUGUACAAUAAGUUUUGCACUAGCAAUCAUUGAAUCAGUAAUUGGGUCUAGCUUGUUCUCCCAUUGUGUCAAGGAAAAAUUCUUUUCAUUAAGAGAGUCUUUAGAGUUUUGUUUCCCUCAACAAGAUUUAUUAGCCUAUAUAGGGUCAGGGCUGGCCUAAAGGUAAAGGCGACCCCAAACCCUCACUUUAGGCCUUGAAUAUUGGACUUAGAAUAAAUGCCUCGCAAUAAACAAAUUUAUAUACAAAUGAAUAAACACUACACAAAAAAUGAAUUAUAUAACUUUGUCAUGAAGCAAAGACGGUAGACGCGAAACUUUAUGAUGCUUACAACAUGAGUUCAACACUUCUCCAUACAACUUUACAAUUCACAUUAUUUUUCGUCGAAAGUGACUUACAGCACUUCCACCCUACCAUAAUGUUAUAAAAAUUACAUAAUGUAACUUUUAAAAACUAUGCUAAUCAUGAUUCUCACACACUUAACGUCAUACCAAAAAUUUAAGUAGUAGUACUAGUAGUAGAAGAAAAUAUAUUAUCAUAUAUGUUGAGCCAUUACGAAGGAACGUGAAUAAGUUAUUAGGAUUUAACGUUGUCUUGUGUGUCACCGCCAAUAGUUAUGAAUAUCACGCUAUUUGGCGGCAAGUGUAGCAGUGUGCCAUGCCAUACCCUGCCCUAUAUCACAGUUUCAACGUGACCAAACUAGACAAAAAGUAGUACACACGAGAUUUGUUUUCUUAAAAGAUGUUUCUUUCACCUUCUUGUUGGAGAUAAAAAUUAUGCAAGCAAUAGAGGAUGACUGAUUCACACAGCAUGAAGUAGAAUUAUACUAUAUUAUUAGUUAAAAUAAAACAGUGAUGAUGGUUUUAAGCAGGAUAACAUAAACAUACAAAUUUGUUUCCAAAAAUAUAAGCAUACAAAUUAGAGGUACGUUUUGUACUACGUCACGUUAAGAAAAAUGAAGUUCUAUACCAACCCAAUUUUAAUAACACACUAAAAAAUGGAUCAUGGAGUCGGUUGACUCGCAAUAAAAAUUGAGACUAAAUUGGGAAAGCUUUUAAGGGAGACAAUUAAUUUGAAAUAUGCAACACUCAAAUAAAGAAAAAAAAGGCAAUUAUAUAAUCUUUUGACUAAAUUAAUUUUGAAUUUAAAACAUUCAAAACUUAAAUAAAGAAAAUAAAUUAGUAAUAUAUUCUUUUGACCGAAUUAAUGUUGGAUUUUUUUUUUUUUUUGAAACAUUUAUUUUGGAUUUAAUUGAUGUGUAUUAUUAGUUUUAAUACAUUAUCCAUAUAGCUAGUCGAUAAAUAUAUUAUCCACAUACAUCUAGUUAUAUACUAUUUAUACACUUUUAUAUAUUAAAUUUUAAAAUAUCUCCAUCAUAAGGUUUAUUUAAUGCAUAUGUAAUUCUAUUUUUACUUUGGCGUAGAUACAAAUGUGAUUCAUAAUUUUUUAAAAUUAUAUAUCGAUCAUAUUGGUUAGAUCAUUUGAUCAUACUAGACUUUAAUUUGUGCUCGUGAGUUUAACUCAGUUGGUAUAGACAAUGCAUAAUAUAUGUAAGAUUUGGGAUUUCAACCUCAACACCACAAAAUAAAUAUUAGACUUUAAUCGUCCUUGUGCGCUUAACUUAAUUGGUAGAGACAAUCCAUAAUAUAUGCAAGAUUUUGAGUUCAAAUUUCUAGAAAAAAAAAAAAAAAACUUUAAUCCUAACUACUUUAAAAAAUUAUACAGUAAAUAUGAUUUACCUUGAUUUGCUCAAGGUGUAAUGGUGACUAAAGUGAGUCGAAAGAUAAUCUCAAAGUGAAACUCCCUUGUUUUGCAAGUAAAGAAAGAAGAAGAUAAGAAUGAUGCAGUAAGCAAUUCCCUGAGAUUUCAGACAACCGAGAAAAAGGAGGGGCCCACAUUCACAUUUUUAUAAGCUAUUGCGUACUCUACCAUUUAAUAUUAAAAUCCUAAACAUUCCCAACACAAAUCCAAUAAAUCCACAUCUAGAUAGAGUGUUUUUCUUCUCUAUUUCAAGUUACCUGUUCCUUUUUUUUUUUGUUCAAUAUCAAUAUAUAUGGGUGUUUGUGAUGUAGUAGCGAGUAACCUUACAAUAAUCUAUGUGGCAGUUACAUCAUUUGUUAAGGCUUAUGAAGUUUUAUAUGGACGAAGAUUUAGUGGUGUGUUUGUUGUGACUGUGUCUACAACGUUGGUGGCUUUGAUUUUGGUGGCAACUUUAAUGUGGGAUUUGUCUCGGAAGAUUAGUAAGUGUGUUUUUGUCGACCAACAUCCUCGUACUUCCCAACACAAUACCAUGUCUUAUUGUAAAGGUGGAAUCUGUUGGCACGGCGUGGCGGAUCGCUCGCCGGCAUCACAACUUCACUUCAAACUUCCUCUUCACCUUCCUCAUAUCUAGAAACAUCUACUUCAUGUGUUGAGUUCAAGUGUGAGUAUUAGUCCAUGAAUGAACUAAAUAUUUGAUAUACGAGAGAUGUUUUGGAUAGAUAUAUGAUCGACGUCUCUGUCUCUUGUGGUCAUGUUUUAGUUUGUUGUUGCUCUCCACGCUCUCUUGACUUCCAAAUAUUUUCUUCUCUUUCUAUUAGUUAGCUUAUAGUUAGAUAUAUUACAAUAUUAUAAUUUGUAUACUUUGUAAUUAAUUUGUAAAUCUUGGUUUAGGAUGAUUUAUAUGGAUAAUUGAUUUGUUCUUAAGGUUUCAUAAUGAAACAACAUGUAUAUAUCAGUUUCGGUUUGCUUGCUGGAAUUUCCAGGUUAAAUUGCUGGAUAUAAGAGAGGAGAUGAUGUUUCUACUUCAAGUGUAACUUUUUCUGAACCUUCCACUACAAGUCUAGAUUUUUUUUUAUAAGCCAAUGAUUGCAAUUGUUUGUUGGUUUGGUACAUUGAUGUAUUAACUUUUGAUAAUGUUGUGCAUCUUUCUUCUUUAUCAACUUUUGUCAAUAUUGUGAAUCAACAUUUUGCUUUAAUAUUUAUCAAUGUUAUUAUAUUUUGAUAUAUUGUUCCCUUCAUUUGAAUUAAUGAAUGUGGAUGAUAAUGAGUUAUGAGUAUAACUUCCGAUACAUUAUUUGGUACGGUCUAAAUGAAGAUUAGGAGAACACGAGGG